Molecule: transfer RNA, 73 nt
Filed under: Felis catus (domestic cat)
Lineage: Eukaryota; Metazoa; Chordata; Mammalia; Carnivora; Felidae
Also listed under: 1 other name
Rfam family: tRNA
About the family: Transfer RNA (tRNA) molecules are approximately 80 nucleotides in length.
Source: Rfam by way of RNAcentral
GCCUGGCUGGCUCAAUCGGUGGAGCGUGUGACUCUUAAUCUUGCGGUUGUGGGUUCAAGCCCCAUGCUGGGUG